GGCCGAGUGGCGGAAUUGGCAGACGCACGGGACUUAAAAUCCCGUGAGAGGUAACUCUCGUGCGGGUUCGACCCCCGCCUCGGCCA
RNAcentral lists this transfer RNA (86 nucleotides) under Planctomycetaceae bacterium. Its description in RNAcentral is "tRNA-Leu". It matches the Rfam family "tRNA". From Rfam's summary of the family: Transfer RNA (tRNA) molecules are approximately 80 nucleotides in length. Their secondary structure includes four short double-helical elements and three loops (D, anti-codon, and T loops). Further hydrogen bonds mediate the characteristic L-shaped molecular structure. tRNAs have two regions of fundamental functional importance: the anti-codon, which is responsible for specific mRNA codon recognition, and the 3' end, to which the tRNAs corresponding amino acid is attached (by aminoacyl-tRNA synthetases). tRNAs cope with the degeneracy of the genetic code in two manners: having more than one tRNA (with a specific anti-codon) for a particular amino acid; and 'wobble' base-pairing, i.e. permitting non-standard base-pairing at the 3rd anti-codon position. Lineage: Bacteria; Pseudomonadati; Planctomycetota; Planctomycetia; Planctomycetales; Planctomycetaceae. The record is from RNAcentral.